GUUUUCUACUUGGAGAUUUCUCUUAUUGGAGUAUUUGGGCCCAGAUGCUUGUGAUAGAAAAAUCAACUCCUUAAUCUGGCCCAGGUUUGCAUGAGUGCUUAUUUGGUAGGAUUGAGAAGAAGGAACAAGAAGAUGAACGAGGCAGGACUGCAUCUUUAAUGAAACUGAUGCCAGGCUGCCCUCUAGACGUGGAAACUAGCUCCGUGAUUGAAUAUGAAGUGAUUGCUCAAAUGGAAGCAGUUGCAAGAAGGACUCUGAAAGUAAUUUUAAAAUACCGCAACUUGUAAGAUUUGCAAGUACUGUUGUUUGGCAUUUGUGCCACAAGUUUUGCCUUUGCUUUCACAAUCUGAGGUCAGUGAAGCUUCACCAGUGUCUUGAAGUCCUUUUCUUCUUGAUAAAUCCAUAGUAAAAAUCAAAAUGAAGUCCUGAAGAAUUCUCAGACCAGUCCUCUGUUCGGAGAUAGUGGAUUCAUGUCUGGAACAUUUUGGAGUAGAAAAUGCAAAACCAGACAUCUAAAUGGCUUUCACGUUGACAGCCUUGACAGACUGUAUGAAUUUGGAGCAGAAAAGAGCUAUGGGAUCAUAUGAUGUGGGAUGUUUCUCAGGGGACCACCUGGUGAAUUUUGAAGGUCCCCAGAACAGACUGUGGGUUACCCAGAACUGCAGGAGGUCUUCCUAUCCACUCAAGCAGAAAGUGAAUGUUUUGAAACGAUGUGUCCAAUUAUUUCAGCUUCAUGCACAACACAAAUAGCCAAGACAAUAAGCCUGAUCUCUUCAAAAGUUUUCAUUUGUCUUUUAAAGUUGUUUUUCUUACAGGCUUAUGUAGAUGCCACCUCGAUUAUUAAAGCACAAUUGCAUUAGUGAUGAGGUACUUCUCUCAAUUAGUUUUGACACAGGGUAAUUUUAUGACUUCAAGUACACCUAUCUUUGACUCUUGAUGGAUUUUUCCGUGUCCUUGUUUUCUACCUAAACCAUGUUUUCGUUUUAUAUUUGUAUAAUGCAUUGUUUGGUGUUUCAAUUUUAAUCAUAGUUAUAUAUUUCUGUUUAUUCGCAUUACACUAAUAUAUGAAUGUCAAGGUUCCAUGGCAUUGCACGCAGUAAAAUAUAUUAAGUAUCUUUAAAUCAUUUACAGGUACUGCUGCAAUGUCACUGUGCAUACAAGAGUUUCAUUCAAUAACAAUGAAUGCUUUAUUUUUUGUUUGUAGUAAAAGAAAUGAAAGAAAGAGCAAGAAGAAUGAAAAAUAAGAGAAAAGUGUUGCUUUUAAGUAGAGAUUUAAUUGGAAGCAGUGACUGAGUACUUGAUAACUUACUGACUUGUAAUAGAUGAACUUCACAGAAUAUUGUGAGGACAUGUGAGUAUCCCCAUUAGGCAAAACUACUGUAAGAUUAAAUCGGAGCGUAAAACCCAAAGCUACCCAAAGUCUAGCUGAUCCAGUGCCCAGUCUCUGACAGUGGUUUGACCUCUCCUACAGUUAGGACAGUACCUCCACCAUCAUUAGAUGCUUUUUUGUGUACACUAGGAAUAGUUGCUUGAAAUAAAAUUUAAUUACUAC
Molecule: long non-coding RNA, 1552 nt
Organism: Gallus gallus (chicken)
Lineage: Eukaryota; Metazoa; Chordata; Aves; Galliformes; Phasianidae
Source: Ensembl